This 468-nucleotide ribosomal RNA is filed under the name uncultured bacterium. Its description in RNAcentral is "partial 16S ribosomal RNA". It matches the Rfam family "Bacterial small subunit ribosomal RNA", at positions 28 to 507 of the family's 1533-position model. The record is from RNAcentral.
GACGAACGCUGGCGGCGUGCUUAACACAUGCAAGUCGAACGGAAAGGCCCUGCUUUUGUGGGGUUCUCGUGUGGCGAACGCGUGUGUAUCACGUGUGUAACCUCCCCUUUUCUUUGGGAUACCUUCAGGAAACUGGGGCUAAUACCCGAUAUGAGCUCCUGCUGCAUGGUGGUGGUUGGUAAGUUUCGGCGGUUGGGGAUGGACUCGAGGCUUAUCAGCUUGUUGGUGGGGUAGUGGCUUACCAAGGCUUUGACGGGUAGCUGGCAUGAGAGGGUGACCGGCCACAAUGGGACUGAGAUACGGCCCAGACGCCAACGGGAGGAAGCAGUGGGGAAUAGUGCAAAAUGGGCGGAAGCAGGAUGCAGCAACGCCGCGUGCGGGAUGACGGCCUUCGGGGUGUAAAGCGCUUUCGAGUGUGACGAAGCGUGAGUGACGGUAAUGGGUAAAGAAGCACCGGCUAACUACGUG